This 744-nucleotide ribosomal RNA is filed under the name Analges unidentatus. RNAcentral describes it as "partial large subunit ribosomal RNA". The record is from RNAcentral. Lineage: Eukaryota; Metazoa; Arthropoda; Arachnida; Sarcoptiformes; Analgidae.
GAUUUCAUUAAUACUUUUACUUUUAAAAAUUUUUUAAAGUAUUUAUGGGGAGUUAUACGCUUUCGUUUUUUAGAAUAUCUAAAUUAUGGGGAAAUUAGGGAAAACCUUUUUAUUUUUCUUAUUUUUGGAAAUGGUAAUUUUUCUUUAGUAGUAAGAAAUUGUGUAAUAACUUAAUGUUGAAAAGUAGGAAUUUUUUUUAUUUUUUUAAAAAAUUUAGAAAUUAAUUAAUGGAUUAGUAGGAAGAUUUUUUUUUUGUUUUUUUUGUUUUUUAAUAUUAAAAAAUAAUAAAUUAUUUAUGCUUACUGAUUUUUUCUUAAACUGGUUAAUAAAAUCUUAGCUAUAAAUUUUAUAGUUAUUUCUGCUCUAUGAAAAAUAAAAAUAAAUGGCUGUGAAUAUAUACACUAAGGUAGCGAAAUCAUUAGUUAUUUAAUUGGUAACUUGUAUGAAUGAAUUUUUUAGGAAAAUUAUUACUUUUUUUUCUAAAAUUAUAUAAUUGUUGAAAAUAACAAUUUUUUCCUGUAAGACUAAAAGACCCUAAAAUUUUUAUAACUUGGAGAAGUAAGUUAUUUAGUUGGGGUAACAUUAAAAAGUUAAUAUUUUUAAUUAUGAUUAAUUUUUUUUUGAACUUUUUUACUGAUAAAAAGUAAAAUACUUUAGGGAUAACAGCUUUAUUAUCUUUUAGAGUUCUUAUUAUUAAGAUAGUUUUAGACCUCGAUGUUGGAUUGGAGAAACUUUUUGGGGCAG